This 358-nucleotide unclassified non-coding RNA is filed under the name Basidiomycota sp. Its description in RNAcentral is "partial contains small subunit ribosomal RNA, internal transcribed spacer 1, and 5.8S ribosomal RNA". The stretch from base 1 to 47 matches the Rfam family "Eukaryotic small subunit ribosomal RNA", at positions 1785 to 1831 of the family's 1831-position model. The record is from RNAcentral. Lineage: Eukaryota; Fungi; Basidiomycota.
AAAGUCGUAACAAGGUUUCCGUAGGUGAACCUGCGGAAGGAUCAUUAUUGAAUUAAUAAAAGUGGGCUUCAAGUGGUGGCUGACGCUGAUGGUCAAACAUAUGUGCUCGCCGCCAUGAGAGGUUCAUUUUUUAUUAACCCUUUUCCACCUGUGAACUAUUGUAGAUGUUGGAGAUCAUUCCUCAGGCAGCAAUGCUUGGUUUGGAGUUUGCGGGCUUCAUUCAGUUGAAGUCGGCUUUCUCUGCGAUCGACAAUGUCUAUUUACAUAUACCCUUGAUUAAAGUUAAAGAAGGACUUGAUUGGGCUUUCAUGCCUAUAAAUCAAUAAUACAACUUUCAGCAACGGAUCUCUUGGCUCUC